This 257-nucleotide long non-coding RNA is filed under the name Hordeum vulgare. RNAcentral describes it as "long non-coding RNA (HVUL_LNC008921)". Lineage: Eukaryota; Viridiplantae; Streptophyta; Magnoliopsida; Poales; Poaceae. The record is from RNAcentral.
GAGCUGAAGUUAUAAUUAAGAUUCUCUCAUGUUCUAUUGACCAUCGAUACAACUAUAAGCAUGCUAACAUUCACCUUCCCUAGUACGACAAAUAAAACUACUUUAUAGAUAUAAUGAGAUAGGUUUGCUAGAUAAUAAAGAACAUGGAAAUAAAAUUUAGGUGAUCAACAAUAAAGUUAAUAUGGCGAGUAUUGAAAAAUGGUGAUAGGAUUUGUGGAAUUGUCCCUAGGCAAACGGUAACUAGACCAAUAGUCGUU